GUGGGGUUCUGGGGACACCUCAGUGCCCCCUGUGUCCAUAGUGGGGUUCUGGGGACACCUCAGUGCCCCCUGUGUCCAUAGUGGGGUUCUGGGGACACCUCAGUGCCCCCUGUGUCCAUAGUGGGGUUCUGGGGACACCUCAGUGCCCCCUGUGUCCAUAGUGGGGUUCUGGGGACACCUCAGUGCCCCCUGUGUCCAUAGUGGGGUUCUGGGGACACCCCACUGCCCCUCUGUGUCAUUUGUGGGGUGUGGGGUGCAGGGGACACCUCGCUGCCCCUCUGUGUCAGUUGUGGGGUGCAGGGUGUGGGUGUGAGGUCUUGGGAUCACCCCACUGCCCCUCUGUGUCCAUAGUGGGGUCCUGGGGUCACCCCACUUCCCCUCUGUGCCCGUAGGGUGAGCCAGGACAGCGGGGGAUCGGCCAGCCAGGACCGCAGGUGGGUUUUGGGGUGCAUUUGCUGUCCCCUGCUGUCCCCUGCCGGGUGGCUCUGGUGCCUUUCACACACUCUGCUUUUCCCAGGGAGACCCCGGGAGCGCCGGACCCCCCGGACCCCCUGUGAGUAGGUUUGGGAUUUUGGGGUACUCUGAGUGAUGGGGCAGCGAGUGGUGGGGUCACACCUCUCCCAGCCCCCUGUGUGCACUGUGGUGGCUUUGGGGACAGCGUUGUCCCCUCACCGGGAGGAACCAACACCCUGUCCUCCCCCCCAGGGCCCCCCCGGACCGCAGGGACCCCCGGGGAUGGCAGCAGAGAAAGGUGCCAAGGUAAGAGAGUGUCCCCCAGCCCUCGGUGUCCGCCGUGCUCCCCAUUCCUGCUGUCCUUCCUCUGCAGGGCUCUCCGGGCCCCAAAGGUGCCACGGGACCCCCUGGACCACCAGGGAGCAGCGUCACCGGGCCACCUGGCCCCCAGGGGCAGCGGGGGCUCCCCGGGUCCAGCGGGCAGCCGGUAGGUGCUGGGGGGUUGUGCCAGGGGCUGUGCCAGCGGGGGGCUGUGCCAGCGGGGGGUGUGCCAGGGUGUGGGGU
This 1017-nucleotide long non-coding RNA is filed under the name Ficedula albicollis (Collared flycatcher). RNAcentral's name for it is "lncRNA (ENSFALG00000024133.1)". Lineage: Eukaryota; Metazoa; Chordata; Aves; Passeriformes; Muscicapidae. The record is from RNAcentral.